Molecule: non-coding RNA, 76 nt
Organism: Podarcis lilfordi (Lilford's wall lizard)
Lineage: Eukaryota; Metazoa; Chordata; Lepidosauria; Squamata; Lacertidae
Source: the annotation of a GenBank genome assembly
UUCACCAUAGCUCAGUCCAUAAAGCAUGAGACUUGUAAUCUCAAGGUUGUGAGUUCAAGUCCCACAUUGGGCAAAA